CCUACGGGAGGCAGCAGUGAGGAAUAUUGGUCAAUGGACGGAAGUCUGAACCAGCCAUGCCGCGUGCAGGAAGACGGCUCUAUGAGUUGUAAACUGCUUUUGUACAAGGGUAAACCUGAAUACGUGUAUUCAGCUGAAAGUACUGUACGAAUAAGGAUCGGCUAACUCCGUGCCAGCAGCCGCGGUAAUUAGGAGGUGGCAAGCGUUAUCCGGAUUUAUUGGGUGUAAAGGGCGUGUAGGCGGGAGCGCAAGUCAGAUGUGAAAACUCAGGGCUCAACCCUGAGCCUGCAUUUGAAACUGUGUUUCGUGAGUGCUGGAGAGGCAAUCGGAAUUCCGAGUGUAGCGGUGAAAUGCGUAGAUAUUCGGAGGAACACCGGUGGCGAAGGCGGCCAACUGGGCUUUAACUGACGCUGAGGCUCGAAAGUGUGGGGAGCAAACAGGAUUAGAUACCCCUGUAGUC
RNAcentral lists this ribosomal RNA (460 nucleotides) under uncultured bacterium. Its description in RNAcentral is "partial 16S ribosomal RNA". It matches the Rfam family "Bacterial small subunit ribosomal RNA", at positions 338 to 795 of the family's 1533-position model. The record is from RNAcentral.